Molecule: non-coding RNA, 130 nt
Organism: Xyrichtys novacula (pearly razorfish)
Lineage: Eukaryota; Metazoa; Chordata; Actinopteri; Labriformes; Labridae
Source: the annotation of a GenBank genome assembly
UCAGACUGAAAAUGGUCUCAGGUGUUACCGUGAUCUGAGGUCAGAUAACUGAGCCCACAGUGAUGCAGCACGUUAUGCUUAUCACCUGCUCACCUGUUGGCAGAGCGAUAAAACCCAUGUGCCAACACUU